UACGGGGGGGGCAAGCGUUGUUCGGAAUUACUGGGCGUAAAGGGCUCGUAGGCGGCCAACUAAGUCAGACGUGAAAUCCCUCGGCUUAACCGGGGAACUGCAUCCGAUACUGGAUGGCUUGAAUUCGGGAGAGGGAUGCAGAAUUCCAGGUGUAGCGGUGAAAUGCGUAGAUAUCUGGAGGAAUACCGGUGGCGAAGGCGGCAUCCUGGACCGACAUUGACGCUGAGGAGCGAAAGCUAGGGGAGCAAACGGG
Molecule: ribosomal RNA, 253 nt
Filed under: uncultured bacterium
Lineage: Bacteria
Description: partial 16S ribosomal RNA
Rfam family: Bacterial small subunit ribosomal RNA
Source: RNAcentral